Molecule: ribosomal RNA, 497 nt
Filed under: uncultured bacterium
Lineage: Bacteria
Description: partial 16S ribosomal RNA
Rfam family: Bacterial small subunit ribosomal RNA
Source: RNAcentral
GAUGAACGCUGGCGGCGUGCCUAAUACAUGCAAGUCGAGCGAACGGACGAGAAGCUUGCUUCUCUGAUGUUAGCGGCGGACGGGUGAGUAACACGUGGAUAACCUACCUAUAAGACUGGGAUAACUUCGGGAAACCGGAGCUAAUAACGGAUGAUAUUUUGAACCGCAUGGUUCAAAAGUGAAAGACGGUCUUGCUGUCACUUAUAGAUGGAUCCGCGCUGCAUUAGCUAGUUGGUAAGGUAACGGCUUACCAAGGCAACGAUGCAUAGCCGACCUGAGAGGGUGAUCGGCGACACUGGAACUGAGACACGGUCCAGACUCCUACGGGAGGCAGCAGUAGGGAAUCUUCCGCAAUGGGCGAAAGCCUGACGGAGCAACGCCGCGUGAGUGAUGAAGGUCUUCGGAUCGUAAAACUCUGUUAUUAGGGAAGAACAUAUGUGUAAGUAACUGUGCACAUCUUGACGGUACCUAAUCAGAAAGCCACGGCUAACUACGUG